This 261-nucleotide long non-coding RNA is filed under the name Ananas comosus (pineapple). RNAcentral's name for it is "long non-coding RNA (ACOM_LNC034423)". The record is from RNAcentral. Lineage: Eukaryota; Viridiplantae; Streptophyta; Magnoliopsida; Poales; Bromeliaceae.
UUUGAAUUCUGUAUUUGCUAAUCCAUAGUAAAACACUCAAAACCUCUCUCACUAACACCUUCCCCUAUUCUCCCGUCAUCAUUCUUCUUUCUCUUAACAAAAAUCCUCUUACAAAAUUUUAGAUGUCCCAAUUAUUUAUUUUGAUUUCCAUUCAAAUAAUAAAUCAAAUAUUUUUAAAUGAUUCGCCAUUACAUUUUCCUUUCUAAUACAAUUCAAUUUUAUUUUUCAUUUUCAUUUCAAUCAUGAAUUAGACAUGCCUUC